ACCAGCCUGCCUUGUGCGAGUGCGCUCUUUUGGACCCACAUCAAUUUUAAGGGACGUUAGAUUUCUGUUCCGGAUUGCAGACCUCCCGCCUGCGCUUUGACGUACGGUGGACGUUGGGAGCAGCUAAGGCACAGAGCGGCGACCCACCUGCCUAUUAGUGCAGGUCAUAAUUGAGCGUGCUACGGCUAUGGCGGGUAAAGG
Molecule: non-coding RNA, 201 nt
Filed under: Oscillospiraceae bacterium
Lineage: Bacteria; Bacillati; Bacillota; Clostridia; Eubacteriales; Oscillospiraceae
Description: 6S RNA
Rfam family: 6S / SsrS RNA
About the family: E. coli 6S RNA was the first non coding RNA to be sequenced, but its function was unknown until recently.
Source: RNAcentral